GCCCGGCUAACUACGUGCCAGCAGCCGCGGUAAUACGUAGGGGGCGAGCGUUGUCCGGAAUUAUUGGGCGUAAAGGGUACGUAGGCGGCUUUUUAAGUUUGACGUGAAAGCCCGGGGCUUAACUCCGGCAAGCGUUGAAAACUGGAGGGCUUGAGUGAUGGAAGGGACAGUGGAAUUCCUGGUGUAGUGGUGAAAUGCGCAGAGAUCAGGAAGAAUACCAGUGGCGAAGGCGACUGUCUGGACAUUAACUGACGCUGAGGUACGAAAGCAUGGGUAGCGAACAGGAUUAGAUACCCUGGUAGUCCAUGCUGUAAACGGUGGGCGCUAGGUGUGAGUCCCUUCCACGGGGUUCGUGCCGUAGCUAACGCAUUAAGCGCCCCGCCUGGGGAGUACGGCCGCA
Molecule: ribosomal RNA, 400 nt
Filed under: uncultured bacterium
Lineage: Bacteria
Description: bacterial SSU rRNA
Rfam family: Bacterial small subunit ribosomal RNA
Source: RNAcentral